Molecule: long non-coding RNA, 800 nt
Organism: Rhineura floridana
Lineage: Eukaryota; Metazoa; Chordata; Lepidosauria; Squamata; Rhineuridae
Exons: 4
Source: RefSeq, a predicted model, not a curated record
CAGAAAAGGGUAGAGAAUCUUCUUACUCUUAUUCAUCUCUCAGACUUCUUUUGAAAAUGAAGGGUCAAAUCUGUAAAGAAGUUUGGAGCAGCCAUGUUGAAAGGUUCUAAGGACCAAACAUUAACUACACAAGGCCUUUUAAUGAUACCCAGGAGAACAAAGGAGAUUUCCCAAAGUUUCAUCCACAGCAGGAGAUGGGAGAGUUGUAAGAAAACAUUGAAAAGGUGCUGAAAUGCCAAACACAGCCAUAUGGUCCUCAAGAUGUACUGCAAAGGGAAGCCACAGAUGGAAACAUUCCCUUGCAUCAGCAUGAAUGAAUUCAAAUGUAUCAGAAACUUGAAACAUAGUCCAGAAAACUGCAUCAACCAUCCUAAAAGGAACUGCAACGACCUGGGAGACCAGGGUUCAAAUCCCCACACAGCCAUGAAGCUCACUGGGUGACCUUGGGCCAGUCACUGCCUCUCAGCCUCAGAGGAAGGCAAUGAUAUCCCAUAUGAGUGUUUCCAGCUUCACGAGAACCACAGUGAUCUGAAUGGAAACGGAAACGGUCCCGAUCCUGUAUCUGAAGUAGAUGCCAAAAUGAAGGGCCAUCAGUCCACUUCAAAAGAGACUUUGUUUUUCUUUUUCCCCUCCGCCAGUUUUUUUUUCUGUGUUCUCUAAUAGUGCUAUUUCCCAAUGUUUCCAGUGCCAUUUUUGCAAUGUUAAGCCGUCCAAUGUCUUCCACUGCCUGGCAAUCACCUGUUUGGCUGCUGUCAGCAUGAAUCCUAUCAAACUUUUGUAUUGCAAAUCUGAGUUUUAUC